GCGAGGGUGGCGGAACUGGCAGACGCACUGGACUUAGAAUCCAGCGCCUUCGGGCAUGGGGGUUCAAGUCCCCCCCUUCGCACCA
RNAcentral lists this transfer RNA (85 nucleotides) under Desulfovibrio sp. Its description in RNAcentral is "tRNA-Leu". It matches the Rfam family "tRNA". Rfam says of the family: Transfer RNA (tRNA) molecules are approximately 80 nucleotides in length. Their secondary structure includes four short double-helical elements and three loops (D, anti-codon, and T loops). Further hydrogen bonds mediate the characteristic L-shaped molecular structure. tRNAs have two regions of fundamental functional importance: the anti-codon, which is responsible for specific mRNA codon recognition, and the 3' end, to which the tRNAs corresponding amino acid is attached (by aminoacyl-tRNA synthetases). tRNAs cope with the degeneracy of the genetic code in two manners: having more than one tRNA (with a specific anti-codon) for a particular amino acid; and 'wobble' base-pairing, i.e. permitting non-standard base-pairing at the 3rd anti-codon position. The record is from RNAcentral. Lineage: Bacteria; Pseudomonadati; Thermodesulfobacteriota; Desulfovibrionia; Desulfovibrionales; Desulfovibrionaceae.